RNAcentral lists this ribosomal RNA (435 nucleotides) under uncultured bacterium. Its description in RNAcentral is "bacterial SSU rRNA". It matches the Rfam family "Bacterial small subunit ribosomal RNA", at positions 957 to 1391 of the family's 1533-position model. The record is from RNAcentral.
GAACGCGAAGAACCUUACCAAAUCUUGACAUCCUCUGACCCCUCUAGAGAUAGAGUUUUCCCCUUCGGGGGACAGAGUGACAGGUGGUGCAUGGUUGUCGUCAGCUCGUGUCGUGAGAUGUUGGGUUAAGUCCCGCAACGAGCGCAACCCUUAAGCUUAGUUGCCAUCAUUAAGUUGGGCACUCUAAGUUGACUGCCGGUGACAAACCGGAGGAAGGUGGGGAUGACGUCAAAUCAUCAUGCCCCUUAUGAUUUGGGCUACACACGUGCUACAAUGGAAAAUACAAAGGGCAGCGAAACCGCGAGGUCAAGCAAAUCCCAUAAAGUUGUUCUCAGUUCGGAUUGUAGUCUGCAACUCGACUAUAUGAAGCUGGAAUCGCUAGUAAUCGUAGAUCAGCAUGCUACGGUGAAUACGUUCCCGGGUCUUGUACACACC